RNAcentral lists this ribosomal RNA (484 nucleotides) under bacterium S3Y. RNAcentral's name for it is "bacterial SSU rRNA". It matches the Rfam family "Bacterial small subunit ribosomal RNA", at positions 35 to 533 of the family's 1533-position model. The record is from RNAcentral.
GCUGGCGGCGUGCUUAACACAUGCAAGUCGAACGAUGAUCCCAGCUUGCUGGGGGAUUAGUGGCGAACGGGUGAGUAACACGUGAGUAACCUGCCCUUGACUCUGGGAUAAGCCUGGGAAACUGGGUCUAAUACCGGAUACGACCAUCUGGCGCAUGUCAUGGUGGUGGAAAGCUUUUGUGGUUUUGGAUGGACUCGCGGCCUAUCAGCUUGUUGGUGGGGUAAUGGCCUACCAAGGCGACGACGGGUAGCCGGCCUGAGAGGGUGACCGGCCACACUGGGACUGAGACACGGCCCAGACUCCUACGGGAGGCAGCAGUGGGGAAUAUUGCACAAUGGGCGAAAGCCUGAUGCAGCGACGCCGCGUGAGGGAUGACGGCCUUCGGGUUGUAAACCUCUUUCAGUAGGGAAGAAGCGAAAGUGACGGUACCUGCAGAAGAAGCGCCGGCUAACUACGUGCCAGCAGCCGCGGUAAUACGUAGGGC